UUAUACAGGCAAAUCCGUAUAACAAUACUCCGAGAACUGAAAGGCUUUUUGAAGUCUUCGGAUGGAUAGAAGAACCCCUGAUGCCGUCGAGCCAAGAAAAGUUUCUAAGUUUAGCUAAUGUUGCCCGUACCGUAAACCGACACAGGUGGGUGGGAUGAGUAUUCUAAGGCGCGUGGAAGAACUCUCUUUAAGGAACUCUGCAAAAUAGCACCGUAUCUUCGGUAUAAGGUGUGGUUCGCUUCGUAUUAGGAUUUACUCCGAAAGCGAAGAAACUUACAACAAAGAGUCCCUCCCGACUGUUUACCAAAAACACAGCACUCUGCUAACUCGUAAGAGGAUGUAUAGGGUGUGACGCCUGCCCGGUGCUCGAAGGUUAAUUGAUGGGGUUAGCAUUAGCGAAGCUCUUGAUCGAAGCCCGAGUAAACGGCGGCCGUAACUAUAACGGUCCUAAGGUAGCGAAAUUCCUUGUCGGUUAAAUACCGACCUGCAUGAAUGGCGUAACGAGAUGGGAGCUGUCUCAAAGAGGGAUCCAGUGAAAUUGUAGUGGAGGUGAAAAUUCCUCCUACCCGCGGCAAGACGGAAAGACCCCGUGGACCUUUACUACAGCUUGACACUGCUAUUUGGAUAAGAAUGUGCAGGAUAGGUGGGAGGCUUUGAGUAUAUGACGCCAGUUGUAUAUGAGCCAUUGUUGAGAUACCACUCUUUCUUAUUUGGGUAGCUAACCAGCUUGAGUUAUCCUCAAGUGGGACAAUGUCUGGUGGGUAGUUUGACUGGGGCGGUCGCCUCCCAAAUAAUAACGGAGGCUUACAAAGGUUGGCUCAGAACGGUUGGAAAUCGUUCGUAGAGUAUAAAGGUAUAAGCCAGCUUAACUGCAAGACAUACAAGUCAAGCAGAGACGAAAGUCGGUCUUAGUGAUCCGGUGGUUCUGUGUGGAAGGGCCAUCGCUCAAAGGAUAAAAGGUACCCCGGGGAUAACAGGCUGAUCUCCCCCAAGAGCUCACAUCGACGGGGAGGUUUGGCACCUCGAUGUCGGCUCAUCGCAUCCUGGGGCUGGAGCAGGUCCCAAGGGUAUGGCUGUUCGCCAUUUAAAGCGGUACGCGAGCUGGGUUCAGAACGUCGUGAGACAGUUCGGUCCCUAUCUGCCGUGGGCGUAAGAAGAUUGAAGAGAUUUGACCCUAGUACGAGAGGACCGGGUUGAACAAACCACUGGUGUAGCUGUUGUUCUGCCAAGAGCAUCGCAGCGUAGCUAAGUUUGGAAAGGAUAAACGCUGAAAGCAUCUAAGCGUGAAGCCAACUCUAAGAUGAAUCUUCUCUAAGCUCUCUAGAAGACUACUAGUUUGAUAGGCUGGGUGUGUAAUGGAUGAAAGUCCUUUAGCUGACCAGUACUAAUAGAGCGUUUGGCUUAUCUUUAAUAAAGCAU
Molecule: ribosomal RNA, 1419 nt
Filed under: Campylobacter coli
Lineage: Bacteria; Pseudomonadati; Campylobacterota; Epsilonproteobacteria; Campylobacterales; Campylobacteraceae
Description: partial 23S ribosomal RNA
Rfam family: Bacterial large subunit ribosomal RNA
Source: RNAcentral